RNAcentral lists this ribosomal RNA (461 nucleotides) under uncultured bacterium. RNAcentral's name for it is "bacterial SSU rRNA". It matches the Rfam family "Bacterial small subunit ribosomal RNA", at positions 1 to 507 of the family's 1533-position model. The record is from RNAcentral.
ACACUGUACGAGUUUGAUCCUGGCUCAGAACGAACGCUGGCGGCAGGCCUAACACAUGCAAGUCGAGCGAACCCUUCGGGGUUAGCGGCGGACGGGUUAGUAACGCGUGGGAAUAUACCCUUUGGUACGGAAUAGCCUCGGGAAACUGAGAGUAAUACCGUAUGUGCCCUUCAAGGGAAAGAUUUAUCGCCAAAGGAUUAGCCCGCGUUGGAUUAGGUAGUUGGUGGGGUAAUGGCCUACCAAGCCUACGAUCCAUAGCUGGUUUGAGAGGAUGAUCAGCAACACUGGGACUGAGACACGGCCCAGACUCCUACGGGAGGCAGCAGUGGGGAAUCUUAGACAAUGGGCGCAAGCCUGAUCUAGCCAUGCCGCGUGGACGAUGAAGGCUUUAGGGUUGUAAAGUCCUUUCAGAUGGGAAGAUAAUGACGGUACCAUCAGAAGAAGCCCCGGCUAACUCCGUG